UACGUAGGGUGCGAGCGUUGUCCGGAAUUAUUGGGCGUAAAGGGCUCGUGGGCGGUCUGUCGCGUCGGGAGUGAAAACUCAGGGCUUAACCCUGAGCCUGCUUCCGAUACGGGCAGACUAGAGGUAUGCAGGGGAGAACGGAAUUCCUGGUGUAGCGGUGAAAUGCGCAGAUAUCAGGAGGAACACCGGUGGCGAAGGCGGUUCUCUGGGCAUUACCUGACGCUGAGGAGCGAAAGUGUGGGGAGCGAACAGG
RNAcentral lists this ribosomal RNA (253 nucleotides) under uncultured bacterium. Its description in RNAcentral is "partial 16S ribosomal RNA". It matches the Rfam family "Bacterial small subunit ribosomal RNA", at positions 524 to 776 of the family's 1533-position model. The record is from RNAcentral.